Non-coding RNA from Epinephelus lanceolatus (giant grouper), 382 nucleotides. The record is from RefSeq and is a predicted model, not a curated record. NCBI's taxonomy places the organism in Eukaryota, Metazoa, Chordata, Actinopteri, Perciformes, Serranidae.
CUUCACACGGAGCAGCCGAAUGACAUUGGUAAUGUGUGUGUGUUUCUACAGCUGGGGUCUAGGAUGGGGAGACAAGGGAUACAUCAAGAUGACCAGGAACAAACACAACCAGUGUGGCAUUGCUACUGCAUCCAGCUACCCGCUGGUCUGAGCAGGUCCAGGACUUUCCUCGGUGAGAAGGAGAAGAGUGAGGCAUAAUUUACUUUAAUUUAAUAAAGAAGUAAAGAAGCUGAGUUAUGGAACAAGAGGCUCUUUUGUUGUUCCACGGAAGAUAGCAGGGUACAGAGUCUGUCUGCACUUUUAAUAGAAUACCGUUUUUUAUGAAUAUUGUAAAUAAAUGUAAAGAAAUAAAAUGUUUUACACUGAGAGAUUUAAAAAAAAA